Molecule: signal recognition particle RNA, 93 nt
Filed under: Pseudomonadota bacterium
Lineage: Bacteria; Pseudomonadati; Pseudomonadota
Description: Proteobacteria bacterium signal recognition particle sRNA small type
Rfam family: Bacterial small signal recognition particle RNA
About the family: The signal recognition particle (SRP) is a universally conserved ribonucleoprotein involved in the co-translational targeting of proteins to membranes.
Source: RNAcentral
CACGUAUGCCCCGCCGACUUGGAAACGUGAAUCCCGCCAGGCCAGAGAUGGAGCAACGGUAGCGUGGAAGGGUGUGGCGGGGCUUUCCUUUGU